GAUGAACGCUGGCGGCGUGCUUAACACAUGCAAGUCGAACGGCAAGGCCUCUGCUUGCCGGGGUUCUCGAGUGGCGAACGCGUGAGUAACACGUGGGUGAUCUGCCCUGCACUUCGGGGUAAGCCUGGGAAACUGGGUCUACUACCGUAUAGCACACUGGUUUGGAUGCUGUUGUGGAAAGCUUUUCGGUUUGGGCUGUGCUCUCGGCCUAUCAGCUUUUUGGUGGGGUACUGGCGUACCAAGGCGGCGACGAGUAGCCGGCCUGUGAGAGCGUACGGACACACUAGGACCGAGAUACAGGCAAGAGUCCGAAGGGUGGGAGCAGGGGGGAAAAUUGGACAAAGGGAGCAAGCGUGAGGCAAGGACGCCGUGUGGGGGAUGACGGCCUUUGGGGUGUAAAAACCGUUCGCGAUGGACGAAGCGCUGUUGUGACGGUACCUGGAGAAGAAGCACCGGCUAACUACGUG
RNAcentral lists this ribosomal RNA (467 nucleotides) under uncultured bacterium. RNAcentral describes it as "partial 16S ribosomal RNA". It matches the Rfam family "Bacterial small subunit ribosomal RNA", at positions 28 to 507 of the family's 1533-position model. The record is from RNAcentral.